Molecule: ribosomal RNA, 464 nt
Filed under: Vreelandella stevensii
Lineage: Bacteria; Pseudomonadati; Pseudomonadota; Gammaproteobacteria; Oceanospirillales; Halomonadaceae
Description: partial 16S ribosomal RNA
Rfam family: Bacterial small subunit ribosomal RNA
Source: RNAcentral
CCUACGGGGGGCAGCAGUGGGGAAUAUUGGACAAUGGGGGGAACCCUGAUCCAGCCAUGCCGCGUGUGUGAAGAAGGCCCUCGGGUUGUAAAGCACUUUCAGUGAGGAAGAACGCCUGGUGGUUAAUACCCAUCAGGAAAGACAUCACUCACAGAAGAAGCACCGGCUAACUCCGUGCCAGCAGCCGCGGUAAUACGGAGGGUGCGAGCGUUAAUCGGAAUUACUGGGCGUAAAGCGCGCGUAGGUGGCUUGAUAAGCCGGUUGUGAAAGCCCCGGGCUCAACCUGGGAACGGCAUCCGGAACUGUCACGCUAGAGAGCAGGGGAGGAAGGUAGAAUUCCCGGUGUAGCGGUGAAAUGCGUAGAGAUCGGGAGGAAGACCAGUGGCGAAGGCGGCCUUCUGGACUGACACUGACACUGAGGUGCGAAAGCGUGGGUAGCAAACAGGAUUAGAUACCCGAGUAGU